AUUGAACGCUGGCGGCAGGCCUAACACAUGCAAGUCGAACGAGUGGCGGACGGGUGAGUAAUGCAUGGGGAUCUGGCUGAUGGAGGGGGAUAACGACUGGAAACGGUGGCUAAUACCGCAUACUAUCGGAUGAACCCAAGGGGGAUUAGGUAGUUGGUGGGGUAAAGGCCUACCAAGGCGACGAUCUCUAGCUGGUCUGAGAGGAUGACCAGCCACACCGGGACUGAGACACGGCCCGGACUCCUACGGGAGGCAGCAGUGGGGAAUAUUGCGCAAUGGGGGCAACCCUGACGCAGCCAUGCCGCGUGAAUGAAGAAGGCCUUCGGGUUGUAAAGUUCUUUCGGUGGAGAGGCGUUAACCACAGAAGAAGCACCGGCUAACUCCGUGCCAGCAGCCGCGGUAAUAC
Molecule: ribosomal RNA, 406 nt
Filed under: uncultured bacterium
Lineage: Bacteria
Description: partial 16S ribosomal RNA
Rfam family: Bacterial small subunit ribosomal RNA
Source: RNAcentral